Molecule: small RNA, 38 nt
Filed under: Propionibacterium australiense
Lineage: Bacteria; Bacillati; Actinomycetota; Actinomycetes; Propionibacteriales; Propionibacteriaceae
Description: CRISPR_Spacer
Source: RNAcentral
GGUGACCCCGACCUGCACACGCACGUUGCGAUCAGCAA